ACUGGGAUUAUAAUCAGACUCCACUGACACUGACAGAGCAGUCUGAGACUCUCCAGGCUGGACUGGACUGCAUUGAUAUACUGAACUGAACUGAAAACUUAGUCACAGCACUGUCCCUCAGGAAAGAUACAAAGAUAUUAAACCUCAAACAUUCAAUAAACAGUUUAUGCAGGAAAUUCUAUGAUAAAGAGGAGAUCAAAAAUGACAUUUCAGUAAUAAACAAACAUAAUAGGGCAGAAGACACAGAGAGAUAAUGCUCUCUAAUAAUGCUCCAUAUGUGAGUAUGUAAGUGUAUUACGAUGUGUCUAUUUUGUAAAUGUCUGUAGAUGUUGUGUUAAUUGUAUUGUUGUGUCAUCACCGAUUUAUUCAUUGGUCAUGCCAAUAUAGCAUCUUGAAUUGAAACUGAAAUUGAGAGAGAGGAGAUCACAACCCCUCAGUCAUAAACACACACAACAGGACAGGAGACACAGGGAGAGAGGAGAUCACAGAGAACCCCUCAGUAAUAAACACACAACAACAGGAGACACAGGGAGAGAGGAGAUCACAGAGAACCCCUCAGUCAUAAACACACAACAACAGGACAGGAGACACAGGGAGAGAGAGGAGAUCACACAGAACCCCUCAGUCAUAAACACACACAACAGGACAGGAGACACAGGGAGAGAGAGGAGAUCACAGAGAAGCCCUCAGUAAUCCUACCGGAGCGGAACUUGUUCCGGAUGAGCAGGGAUCUCUCGGACGCCAGGAGAGUCAUGACGGACAGGCCUUGAGGAAGAACGAGGAAGAGGCGCAGUCGGAAACUGUAGAAGGACAGUCCUGAGGAGACCCCGGAGGAGUCUGUCCAGGAGGGGGCGCUGUCUGUCUCUCUGCAGCUGUCAGUCUCUCCUUCGGGACAGAAGAGGUGGACAGUGAGUGAUGGACAAUAGGAGGUGGACAGAGAGAGAGGUGGACAGUGGGUGACGGACACUGAUGAUGAUGAAGAUGACGUACAGCAGCCCAGGGCCGGAGCUGUGUCAGACUGGGAUAUUCCCGAGUCUUCCUCAGGAGACACGCCAGGCUAUUCCUCAGUAAAGACUCCUGACUCUUCCUCAGUACAGCCUCCAGACUCUUCCUCAGUACAGACUCCUGAAUCUUCCUCAGGAGAGACGCCAGGCUCUUCCUCAGUACAGACUCCUGACUCUUCCUCAG
RNAcentral lists this long non-coding RNA (1188 nucleotides) under Lepisosteus oculatus (spotted gar). RNAcentral's name for it is "lncRNA (ENSLOCG00000022335.1)". The record is from RNAcentral. Lineage: Eukaryota; Metazoa; Chordata; Actinopteri; Semionotiformes; Lepisosteidae.